Molecule: non-coding RNA, 10911 nt
Organism: Oryctolagus cuniculus (rabbit)
Lineage: Eukaryota; Metazoa; Chordata; Mammalia; Lagomorpha; Leporidae
Source: RefSeq, a predicted model, not a curated record
UCAGCUUGCUUUUAUGUAGUCUCUAAACUUCUACCCCUUAUUUUACCAAUAUAGAUUAAUAAAGAUUUGUGUCUAAUCUGUGGCUAAAUUAUGCAGAGAAUGGAACGCACUUCAGAAAUCUGCACACAGGUUUUUCUUUCUUCCUUUCUUUUUUGUUCCAAUAAGAGAGAUCUGCUGAAAAAUACUGAGGAAAUACAAGGUUGCUGCUAGAUCAGAUGAUGCCUUUAUGCACAUGGAUCUGAAUAGCUAGGUGGGGUCAAAGGUCAAGAGAUAGAGGGUCUUAUUAUUACAAAAUAAAGGUGUUCCUUUCCUAUGGUGGGAUGUGGCCUUGUGUCAAAGUUGAUGGGUUAACUAGGGAUGUAUUCAGCCUUGGCUCAUCCUCUCCGUGAGGAGACUCUUUUGUGCAGUGAGCAACCUGUAUCAUCACAUAUGGCAGCACUUAGGGAGUGCAGCUUGAGUAGGGUUUUUUCUACUUUGAUGUUCUGCCUUUGCUGGGGAAACCAUCUCAAGUCACACAGAACAAGACUGUCCUGGGGCAUCGGUGUCUUAGACAGUAGUUUCUGAACCAGGAGUCUCUGCAGGCAUAAUUAAAUUAAAGGUCUGAUCAUCCAGGUCCACUUGGGUCGGCCCUUCACACACUAACAAGGUUCUAGAAAACAGACAGCCAGAGGAAAAGGCAAUGUGAAGACAGAAAAUGGAAUGGUAUGGGCACAAGUCAAGGAAGGGAAAGAAUGCUGGCCACCACCAGAAGGUGACGUAGGCAAGAAGAUUCUCCUCUAAGUUCUCUGGAGGGAGUAUGGCUCAGCUGACACUAUGAUUGUAGACUUCUGGCCUCCAGAAUCAUGAGAGAAUAACUUUUUUUGUUCCAUGACACCUAGUUUGUGGUGUUUUGUUACAGCAUCUGGAGGAAACUAACCCAAAGACCCACAACUGAAAGCCUACACUUUCACUAUCCAGAGAAAGGAUAUUAGACAAAAAUGAAUUUACAAAAUUCACUCAUCAAUAAGAAGCAUUUAUAAUUUCUACUGUUAUAAAAUAAUAUCUAAAGAAUUAUGACUACCAGGCUUCUAUACAGUCAUAUAAGUACUCCACUAUAGCACUGAAACUAAAAUAUGUGUUUCUGAAUUAAUAAGAAUGAUUUAUUAAAUAUCAACAAAAUACUAAAUUAAUAAUAUUUAAGCCUUAAAGAUACAGCUUUGGAAUUGUAUUUUAAUUACGUUCAUAAAUGGAAGUGACAUAUUAGUAAGAUUUAUAGGAGGGUUCAAGAUGGCUGAAUCAACAGAAGCUGCACUGACUUCAGCCACAGAAGCAUAUGAGAAAAACCAAGGAAGGACCAUGAUUCUCGGGGAAUGACUGACAGAAACUGUCAUUGGAGAAUGAUAGAACAGAACAGAGACUCUAGGGGACAGUGAGGACAGUAAAUAGGCAUGCUACAAAGCAUUAUCCCUGCCGACUUUAACUCCAGUUAGGUAGCUGACUGGUACUGAGUGACUGCUUGGCUCUGAGAAGGGAAACCACAUUGACUCCCUCCCCUCCCCAAUCCCCACAAAGUUUGGAGCUGUGUAGAGUCUCACAGCUGAUCUCUAUUCCACUGCUGCCAGAAGCUAUCAGAAUCAGAGUCAGGGUAAUAUGCAGGGCACACAGCCUACCCCCUGCAUGCUAUAACUGUGGAGUCUUGGGCAUAAGCCCCAGAGCUACAACCAUUCACUCUGUGUGAUCCCUGGAGGUUACCCCAGCUUCUUGAUGCUCUAGCACUAGCAGAAGCUACAAAAAUUCCAGACCCAACCUGAGAAAGUUUCCUCUGUAUCUCUAGAACACACUUCUCCUCCACACUGGGGAAUUUGAACAAUGACCCCACUGUACCCUGCAACACCAGAACUGUAACAAUCAGUACUAAUUUCCACAAACUCACUGGAAUCUAUCCAUAGGACCUAGGGAAGAACCUAUCUGCAUUCCACCUCUUUGAACCUAUAUCUGACAGUGCAAAAUCUCCUGCUGUAUCUUGUAGUAACCCUACAGGAAUGGAGAGGGGAUCAGUUCAUAUCCCCUAGACCUGGGACCAGGGCUGUUGGUGCUAUAAGUCCUAGCACCAGUUGCAGUCUCUCAGAAGGCCCAUUCACAUCACGCAAUCCUAGAUCCACAGUUAGUGGUGCCAAAAGCAUCUCUCAGGCUUGCUAGUGGUACAAGGGGACAGCCCCCUGUGUGCCUUUCAGCACAAAGACUGAGGCCCUCUACAGGGACUGAAGAUACACACCCUAGGAAACCCACAUUCACCUCAAAGUCAUACUUCUAUCCAUAUGAACUGCAGCAGAAUACACCACUCUGUCACUUAUGGAAACAGUUGACAUUGAUUAAAGUAAAAGAACACUCAGAGGUUAUACUUCUGGGAUCAUCUAGAACCCAUGCAAAAACAUAAAACCAAGUGAUACCUUGUAUUCCAUCUAAAACAUAAACUCUUUUCCAAUAAAACCUAUUUCAUAGAGAAGGGAUAUUUCACUAAAUGCAGAGACAUCAACAUAGGCUCACAGGAAAAACGAAGAAGCAAGGUAGCAUGACACCUCCAUAAAACACAACAGACCUCCAGAAUUAGACCCUGAUCAGAAGGAAAUCUAUGAAAUAUCAGAAAUAGAAUUCAAAAUAAUAUUGCAAGGAAACUUAAUAUCUACAAAUAGACAGCUAAAAGAAAUGAGGAAAUCAAUGGGUGACACAAAUUAAAUUCACUAAGGACACAUAUCAUUAAGACUGACAGUCAUAUGUUAUAUGACUGACAGCUUCAACAAAAGAAUAGACCAAGUGGAGGAAAGAAUUUCUGAACUGGAGGGCAAGACUUCUAAAAUAACCCAAUUACAGAAAAAUAAACAAAAAAAGAAUAAAAAAAUGAAAAAAGUCUUUGUGAAAUAUGGGAUAUCCUCAAAUGACCAAAUAGAGUGUUAUGUGGACUCCUGUAGGAGACAAGAAGGACAAAUGCAUUGAAAAUAUGCUAAACAAAAUAAUAGUUGAAAAUUUCCCACGUCUUGAAAGAGACAUGACACCCAGAUUCAAAAAGCUCAAAGAACCUCAAGCGGACUCAAUCAAAAAAGAUCUUCUUGAAGGCAUUUUGUAGUCAAAUUGUGAAAAGUUAGUGACAAAAAAAGAUUCCUAAAGACAGCAAGAGAAAUGAAUUAAGUUACAUAUAAAGGAAAACUAAUUAAACUAAUAGCAGACUUCUUAGCAGAAACCCUUACUGGUCAGAACAGAGUGGGAUGAUAUACUCAAGAUCCUAAAAGAAAAAUACUUUAAACCAAAUAUUUUAUAUCCAUCAAAACUAUCCUUUAUAAAUGAAGGAGAAAUAGGUAUUUUUCAGGUAAGAAAAAACUAAGAAAAUUCACUACCAGAGCAGCAUUAAAAGAAACUCUGAAGGGAGUCCUACAUCAGAAAUUAAUAUGAAAACACAUGACACUACUAAAUUCAUUAACAAAGCAAAUAUAAUCAGUGACCAAUCAACAAAAUGACAGGUGUUAGUUCCUUUCUAUCAAUACUAACCUUUAAUGUAAAUGGAUUAAAUACCUAAGACUUAGUUUGGCUGCAUGGAUAGCCAACAAAGACCCUACCAUAUGUUGCCCAUAAGAAACUCAUUUCAUAAAUAAAGAUGCACACAGACUUAAAGUGAAGAGUUAGAAAAAGAGAUACCAGGCAAAUGGAAACCAAAAACAUAUAGGAGUAGCUAUCUUCAAAGAAAAUAAAAUAGACUUUAAAUAAAAAACUUCAAAAUAGAGUCAAAGAAGGACAUUAUACAUUGAUAAAAAUUCAGCAAGAGAUAUAACAAUAAUAAAUAUAUAUGCAACCAACACAAGACUACACAGAAAUAUGAGAUAAAUACUACUAGAGAUAAAGGGAGAGAUAGACUCCAGGAUGGUAAUAAUAGAAAGUUCAGCAUCCCACUCUUUUUUUUUUUUUUUUUUGGACAGGCAGAGUUAUACAGUGAGAGAGAGACAGAGAGAAAGGUCUUCCUUCCGUUGGUUCACCCCCAAAAUGGCCACUACAGCCAGUGCGCUGCGCCAAUCCGAAGCCAGGAGCCAGGUGCUUCCUCCUGGUCUCCCAUGGGGGUGUAGGGCCUAAGCACUUGGGCCAUCCUCCACUGGCUUCCCAGGCCACAGCAGAGAGCUGGACUGGAAGAGGAGCAACUGAGACAGAAUCCGGUGCCCCGACUGGGACUAGAACCCAAGGUGCCGGUGCUGUAGGCAGAAGAUUAGCCUAGUGAGCUGCGGCACCAGCCAUCAACAUCCCACUCUUAUCAAUGGACAGAUCAUCCAGGCAGAAAAUCAGCAAAGGUACAUCUGAGUUGAACAAUAUUAUUGAGUAAAAGGAUUUAAGGGACAUUUACAGGACAUUUCAGAAUAUAUAUCCCUCUCAUCAGUAUGUAAUAUGUGAUAGAGCACAUAUUAGACCACAAAUUAAGUCUCAUCAAAUUUAAAAAUAUUGAAAUCAUGCCAUGUAUCUCUUCAGUCCAGAAAGUAAUAAAACUAGAAAUCAACAAGAAGAACAAUACAACGUUCAUAAAAACAUGGAAAUUAAGUAACUUGUGUUGAAUGAUCUGUGGGUCAUUUAAGAAAUUAAAAAGGAAAUCAACCAACUUUCUUGAAAUAAGUGAAAAUGAAAGCACAAUAUAUCAAAACUUGUGGGUUACAGCUAAAGCAGUAUUAAGAAGGAAGUUAAUAGCAUUAAGCGAUUACAUUAAAAAGGGAAAUGUCUCAAAUAAAUGAUCUAAUGAUGCAUCUCAAAGACUCAGAAAAACAAAAACAUACUCCACCAGAAAUCAGCAGGUGGUGAGAAAUAAUAAGGAGCAGAGCAGAAAUAAAUGAAACAAACUAAAAAAAACACAAAAAUCUACAAAACAAAGGAUUUCUUUGAGAAGACAGACAAAAUAGACAAACUUUUUGACAGAAUAAAAAAAAGAAAAUCAAAUAACUAAAAUUAUUUAUGAAAAAAGGGACAUUACUAUGACACCACUGAAAUAUAAAAGAUCAUAAGAAACAACCAUGAAAAAUUAAAUGCUAGAUUAAAUUAAAUUAAAUACUAGAAAUCCUCAAAGAAAUGCAAAAGUUUCUGAAUAUACAUAACUGACUAAGAUUAAAUCAAGAAGAUAUAGAAAAUCUAAGCAGAACCAGAGUAAGCAACAAUAUUGAAGAAGUAAUUAAAAGUUUCUAUCAGCAAAGUCCAGGACCUGAGGACUUUACUACUGAAUUCUAAAAAACAUUUAAAGAGAAACUAAUUCUAAUAUAUUUUUUUAAGAUUUUAUUUAUUUAUUUGACAGGUAGAGUUACAGACAGUGAGAGGGAGAGACAAAGAAAGGUCUUCCAUCUGCUGGUUCACUCCCCAAAAGGCCGCAACUGUUGGAGUUGGGCCAAUCCAAAGCCAGGAGGCAGGAGCCAGGAGCCAGGAGCUUCUUCUGGGUCUCCCAUGUAGGUUCAGGGGCCCAAGUGCUUGGGCCAUCUUCCACUGCUUUCCCAGGCCAUAGCAGAGAGCUGAAUCAGAAGAGGAGCAGCCUGGACUAGAGCUGGCGCCCAUUUGGGAUGCCAGUGCCACAGGCAGAGGAUUAACCUACUGUGCCACAGUGUUAGCCCACAAUAUUUUUCAAAUUAUUCCAAAAUAUUGAAUAGCAUGGAACUCUGCAAAAGACUUUUCAUUAGGCUAGCAUCACUCUUUUUAACAAACCAAAUAAAUACAAACACAAAAAAAAACUACAAAUGGAUAUACUUGAUCCACAUGGAUACAAAAAUUCUCAAAAUACUAGUGAAUCAAAAAGAUCAGCAUCAUGAUCAAGUGGGAUUUAUCCCAGCAAUGCAGGCAAAAUUCAACAUUUGCAAAUCAAUAAAUGUCAUAUACCACAUUAACAGAAUGAAAAACAAAACCCAUAUGCUCACCUCAACAGAUGCAGAGACAGCAAUGAAUAAGAUUCAAUAUCCCUUUAUAAUAAAAAUUCUCCAUGAAUUAGGUAAAGAACGAAUGUAUCUCAAAACUAUAAAAGUUAUAUAUGGCAAACCAAACAACCAGCCAAUAUUUUACUGAAUGGGAAAAAACUGAAAGCAUUUUCCCUCAGAUCUGACCAAGUCAACGAUGUGCAUGUUUACCACUGUUACUCAAUACAGUAUCGAGAGUAUUAGCAAGAGCAAUUAGGGAGGAGAAAUAAAGUACAUCAAAAUUGGAAAGGAGGGAUUCAAAAUAUCUAUAUUUACAGACGACAUGAUGUUGUACAGAUAAAAACCUAAACACUCCAUCAGAAAUAUUUUAGAACUGAUAAAUUAAUUCAGUAAAUUUGUAGGUUACAAAAUUGAAUACAAAAAAAUUUAGCUUUUUUAUGUGCUAAUGAUGAACUUGCUGAAAGAGAAAUUAAAAAAAAUCCUAUUCACAAUGGCCACUAAAAAUAAAAUAUUUAGGAAUAAAUUUGACCAAAGAAGUGAAAGAUCUCUACAAUGAAAACUACAAAAGAUUGAAAAAAUAAAUCAUCAAACACACAAAAAAAGGCAAAGAUAUUCCUUGGUAAUGGAUUGAGAGAAUUAAUAAAAUUAAAAUGUCCAUACUCCCAAAAGCAUUCUGCAGAUUCAAUGUAAUCCCUACUAAAAUACUAAUGUCAUUCUUUACAGAAUUAGAAACAACUAUCCUAAAAUACAUAUGCAAUUAAAAAAGACCCAGAAUAGCCAAAAUGAUUCUGAGGGAAAAAAAAUCAAGCUGGAGGCAUCACAACAUCUGACUUCAAAGCAUACUGCAAACCUAUAGUAAUUAAAACAGCAUGCUACUGAAAUAAAAACUGACAUAGAGAUCAUUGGAAUAGAAUAGAAAGCCCAGAAAUUAAUCCACAUACAUACAGUCAACUGGUUCUUGACAAAGGUGUUUUGACUAUACAUUGGAGAAAGGAUACUCACUUCAAUAAGUGGGCUAGCAAAACUGGAUGGAUGUAUGUGGAAGAAAUUAGAAAUUACGUCCUUACCUCCCACUGUAUUUAAAAAUCAGCUCAAGAUGGGUCAAAGACUUUAAACCCUGAUACUAAGAAGUUACUGGAAGAAAAUGUAGGGGGAAUACUUCAAGACAUUUGUGUAGGUGAUGACUUCCUGGAUAAGACCCCAAAGCACAAUAAAGAAAAACAACACUAGACAAAUGAGAUUAUUUCAAACUCAGAUGUUUCUGUACAGCAACCAAAACAAUCACUAUAUCCAACAGAAUGGAAAAAAUAUCUGCAAGCUUCCUGUUUGACAAAAGAUUACUAAACAGAAUAUAUCUGCGAUAAAACUCAACAAGAAAAUAACCAAUCCAGGUAAGUAAUGGGCAAAGAACCUCAAUACACAAUUCUCAAGAGAAGAAACAGAAAUCAACAUCACUAGCCAUUAGGGAAACACAAAUCAAAACCACAAUGAGAUAUCACCACAAUAGCUUUUAUCCAAAAGACAGAAAUUACGAAAUGCUGGGGAAGCUGUGGAGAAAAGGGAACACUUAUAUACUGUGGGAAUAAAAAUUGUUCAACCACUGUGGAAAAUAGUAUGUAUAGUUCUUUAAAAAAAUACAAAUAGACUUGCCAUAGGAUCCAGAAAUUCUACUACUGAGUGUAUAUCCAAAAGACAUGGACGUACUAUAUUAAAAAUAUCUGCACCACAAUAUUUAUAGAUGCACUUUUCACAAUAGCCAAAACAUAUCAUCAACCCAGGUGUCUAGCAUCAGAUGAUAUAUACACACACAUUGGAAUAUUAUUCAGGUAUAAAAAUGAAUGAAAUGCUUCCAUUUGCAUCAAAAUGGAUGCAACUGGAAGAUACCACAUUGAAUGAAAUAACAGACAUAGACAAAUACCGCAUGUUCUUUCUUAUAUGUGGGAGCAAAGAUUAGAAAAGGAAAAAAUGACAAUCAUAUCCCAAAAUGACCAUUCAUUCCUAAACAUUUUUGGCAUUCUAUAUUAACUGCCACAUAUAAGAGGAAAACAUAUGGUGUUUGUCUUUUUGAGAUUGGCUUAUUUUGCCAGCGCCGCGGCUCACUAGGCUAAUCCUCCACCUUGCGGCGCCGGCACACUGGGUUCUAGUCUCGGUCUGGGUGCCGGAUUCUGUCCCGUUUGCCCCUCUUCCAGGCAGCUCUCUGCUGUGGCCAGGGAGUGCAGUGGAGGAUGGCCUGAGUCCUUGGGCCCUGCACUCCAUGGGAGACCAGGAGAAGUACCUGGCUCCUGCCAUCGGAUCAGUGCGGUGCGCCGGCCGCAGUGUGCCAGCUGUGGCGGCCAUUGGAGGGUGAACCAACGGCAAAGGAAGACCUUUCUCUCUGUCUCUCUCUCUCACUAUCCACUCUGCCUGUCAAAAAAAAAAUAAAUUAAAAAAAAUAAUAUACAUUAAAAAGAAAAAAUGUCUGUGGGCAUCAGUAUCACUUCAAAUAGAAUUUUGUUAAAUUCUUCUUAAUAGUUUUCUCAAACCAUUGGUUAAGAAUGAUAAAGCACUACAGUUUUAAUGAUUUGUGAUUAUUUUAACAUGUACUGUAUAUGAGUGCAAUGGACAUCUUUUCACUUGAUUAUUGUUGAUAGUUUUUGCCUAUAUCCCCCUGUUGAAAUAUGAUCUUUUAUUUUUUUACCUGUUAGCCUCUUUAUUUAGUUGAGUAUUAUGUCUUAGAAUACAAUGUAAAUUAAAAAUAUUUCAUCUCAAGAAUUGAAAAAGCAGUGAAGAAACAAAGGAAGAAAAGAAGGAAGGCAGAAAUAAAUGAAGAAUUAGAAAGAAGGAAGGAAGACGGAGGAAGGGAAUUAUUAUAUUCUUAGAACUGUAUCUAUGAAAUACAUUGAAUCUGUUUUCUUUGUGUUACUAUCACAUUAAGAUAAGAAUUGAUGAGAAUUUUAUUGUAGUAAUUUUCUCGCACUUGUUGUGACCCAGAGAAUUUAAUAUAUUAAUAAAUUCCUUAAAAGUAAUAUUUAUAUUUAUACAAUGUAAAUGUUAUCUUAAGAAUUUUAACUAUAAAAUUUCUUUUUGAGUAAUUACAUAUUGACUUUAUAGAAAUAAAACUAAGACAUAAAAAAAUCAAAAUUACUCUAGAAAAGACCAAAAGCAAUAUCUUCUUUUAGUUUGGAUCUUCAGAAGUAGGCUCAUUGGAAGGCUAGAUCAACCCACUUCUAAUUUCUGGCUGAGGUAUAGAAGACAAAAUCCAGUGCUUGGCAGUGAGACAUUUCUUGUUUCCAGUGUAGGUUGUGCUGGAGUAGUAAAAUCAUUUAGCAUGGAGAAUUCUUGGGAAGGUCUGUACUAACUUUCCAGAGGAGGAAAAGGGACAGGAGGUCCCCUUCCCAGAAACUGUCUUUUGGCAUCCUCUAUAGCUCUGGAUCUUUGAAUGAAGGACACAGUAUGAGAAUAGAGUCUGGACCAGCUGCAUUCCAUUCCAUGGGAGCACUGAUUUGUUGCCAGCAGAGGUUGUACUGGGGUAGCAGAAUCAUUUGAUGAGAGAUUCAUGGGAAGGUCUCUACUAGCUUUCUAUGGAAAAAGAGGGACAGGAGGUCCUCUUCUCAAAAACUGUCUCCUGGCAUCUUCUGCAACAUACCAACUCUGACUGACAGAUGCAGUUGCGGUGUAGAGUUGGAAGCAACUGUUUCAAUUCAGGUGGGAGCCUUCAAUCUAGCAAGCUUAAAUUACCAAGAUAAUCUAUGCUUUCAUUUUAUUGGAUUCCAUUUCUGAAGAUGCCUGACCUUUGUGUCAUUAAAAGAAGGCACAGUAAGAAUUAUAAGUUCUGCUAGUUCUGAGAAUCUGGCAACACAUGGAACACCCACAUGAAUUCUGCAUUGCAUGUGUGAAGGAAUCGUUGGAUCAGGAUAGAGUUGGCCUGACGGAGGGAUUCUUUUCCUGUGAUCCGAAUCCCUUGGGGAUGGCAGCUCUGGAUCCUUGAGCCAUUCCAGUUGUAUUAGUUUGCUAGGACUUCCAUAACAGCUUCACAAACAAAGUGCUGAGUGGCUUACACACAAUAAAUUUAUUUUCUUAUAGUUCUGCAUGCUAGAGGUCUGAGAUUAGGAUACAAGCAAAUUUGGUUUCUUCUGAGGCCUAUUGCCUUAGCUUGCAGAUGGUUAUCUCACUGUGUUCUUACAAGGUCUUUCUCUAUGUGUCUAAAUUUCCUUUUCGUGUAAGCACACCAAUUAGGUUGGAUGAGGACCCACUUGAAUGACUUCAUUUCAACUUUAUUAUCUCUUUAGAGGCGCUAUCUCCAAAUAUAGUAAUAUUUUAAAAUGUUGGGUAUUAGUUUUUCAAUAAAUUAUGAAGGUACACAAUUCAGGCAUAGCAGCAGACUGAAGCUCCUCCUUCUUUGGUGAUCUGGUAAUGUGCAGAAUUUGCUAGAUCAUAUGAAUCAAAAACUUAUUUUUAACUUAUAUUAGGUACCAAGAUUCAUGAUACACAAUUUUUUUUCUUUGGAGUACAGAUACCCUGAGCAGAUUACUGAGAUCUUUUACUUCUUUUUCUCUUGGCUUAUUUCAACCAUAAGUAUUAGAUGAGGGCUCUCCACCCUGCUGAAAGUCUUUUUCCUUGUGAGGAUGGAAGAUUGGGGAAUUAACCCCUGGGAAUUGCUCUCAAUCAAUGACUAAGAGAAAUCGGUGUGUCGCUCCCCCACUUCACGGAGGAACGACACUGAACCCUGCGCUGUUCUUUUGUCUGCUUGGCCCUUCCCGGGUUUGCUGCUGGUUCUUCCCGGGUGGGCAACCGUCCCUUCCACCUCCGUGGAAGGGCGGUGCCCCCUGCCACUUUCCCCACUUCCGCGGGGGAGUGGCACACCGCCGGCCGGCUCUCUCGGGGGCUGCUCAGAUGUUCCUCAGGUGUUCCCCUUAGAUGUUCCUGGUGCAUGUUGUCUCUCUCCUCCUUUAUAGUCCUCUUCCACCAAUCCCAACUCUGCUACCCACACGCCAAGCACGCUGCUCUCCUCCAAUCAGGAGCAACUCCUGCA